Non-coding RNA from Macaca mulatta (Rhesus monkey), 117 nucleotides. The record is from Rfam. NCBI's taxonomy places the organism in Eukaryota, Metazoa, Chordata, Mammalia, Primates, Cercopithecidae.
GCCGGGAGUGGUGGCUCACACCUGUAAUCCCAGCACUUUGGGAGGCUAAGGUGGGUGGAUCACCUGAGGUCAGGAGUUCGAGACUAGCCUGACCAACAUGGUGAAACCCCAUCUCUA